CAGUAGGGGAGUGUUAUAGUGACGUGUGGUCAGUCAGUAGGGGAGUGUUAUAGUGACGUGUGGUCAGUCAGUAGGGGAGUGUUAUAGUGACGUGUGGUCAGUAGGGGAGUGUUAUAGUGACGUGUGGUCAGUAGGGGAGUGUUAUAGUGACGUGUGGUCAGUCAG
Oncorhynchus kisutch (coho salmon) is the source of this 165-nucleotide long non-coding RNA. RefSeq lists it as uncharacterized. Lineage: Eukaryota; Metazoa; Chordata; Actinopteri; Salmoniformes; Salmonidae. The record is from RefSeq and is a predicted model, not a curated record. The transcript is spliced from 3 exons.